RNAcentral lists this ribosomal RNA (462 nucleotides) under Globigerina bulloides. RNAcentral's name for it is "bacterial SSU rRNA". It matches the Rfam family "Eukaryotic small subunit ribosomal RNA", at positions 1183 to 1458 of the family's 1831-position model. The record is from RNAcentral. Lineage: Eukaryota; Foraminifera; Rotaliida; Globigerinidae.
GGAGUUGUGGCUUAAUUUGACUCAACGCGGAAAAGCUUAUCUGGUCCGGACACAGUGAGGAUUGACAGACAGUUGGCAGGAGUGGUUCUUGGUAAAAACAAAUGAGAGAGUUGAAGUUCUUUCAUGAUCUUGUGAGAGGUGGUGCAUGGCCGUUCUUAGUUCGUGUAGUGAUAUGUCUGCCUAAUCGCGUCACGAUAACCUAUUGGUCGACAACCCAAUUAUCACAACUGCAGCAUAACUCCCCUUGGGUGGGCGAGGCUCUGUGUAGGAUAGACCUCUGAACAGUACGCAACGAACGCGAUCGUAAUCCCUUGUUGAGUGGCCAUCCUGUAAGCUGCUGGAUUUGAAACCCAGUGGUAUUAUCUCAGCCACAGAUUUUCUGGUUGUAAUGGGCCAGUUUUGAAACUCGGGGAACAUCUGUGACUUUCUUUCUUAACGCAGAGGAAGGUUAUGGCAAUAACA